CCAUUUUUCCUUACAAACAUCAACAUGCCGUCUCACACACUUACCCGUCACCCCAGCCGGGUUUCAAAGCCGCGGUGCUGUCGGUGUGUCCUACACUUGCCGCAAUAAGUGACUAAAGCAUAAAAGGGGAGAGGGAGGAGCAAUCGUGGCAGAAGUAGGGGAGGAACCACCCGACAAUGAAGACCAUGAGAGCGACGAGAUCGACCCCGAGCAAGAUGAACCCCCACAGCAGACGCAGCCACCGGACACCGAAAGGUGCGCCGCGACAAGCAGGAAGACCCAUGGCGCGACGGACUGGCAAGAAGUUGACAUGUUUAUUGAAAGAAUAAAUCAGAGUCAAACCUGUUA
Nerophis ophidion (straightnose pipefish) is the source of this 348-nucleotide long non-coding RNA. RefSeq lists it as uncharacterized. NCBI's taxonomy places the organism in Eukaryota, Metazoa, Chordata, Actinopteri, Syngnathiformes, Syngnathidae. The transcript has 2 exons. The record is from RefSeq and is a predicted model, not a curated record.